This 404-nucleotide ribosomal RNA is filed under the name Actinomycetes bacterium. Its description in RNAcentral is "Actinobacteria bacterium partial 16S ribosomal RNA". It matches the Rfam family "Bacterial small subunit ribosomal RNA", at positions 355 to 776 of the family's 1533-position model. Lineage: Bacteria; Bacillati; Actinomycetota; Actinomycetes. The record is from RNAcentral.
UGGGGAAUAUUGGACAAUGGGCGCAAGCCUGAUCCAGCCAUGCCGCGUGAGUGAUGAAGGCCCUAGGGUUGUAAAGCUCUUUCACCGGUGAAGAUAAUGACGGUAACCGGAGAAGAAGCCCCGGCUAACUUUGUGCCAGCAGCCGCGGUAAUACGAAGGGGGCUAGCGUUGUUCGGAUUUACUGGGCGUAUAGCGCACGUAGGCGGACUAUUAAGUCAGGGGUGAAAUCCCGGGGCUCAACCCCGGAACUGCCUUUGAUACUGGUAGUAUUGAGUUCUAGAGAGGUGUGUAGAAUUCCGAGUGUAGAGGUGAAAUUCGUAGAUAUUCGGAGGAAAACCAGUGGCGAAGGCGACUCACUGGCUCAAUACUGACGCUGAGGUGCGAAAGCGUGGGGAGCAAACAGG